GAGUUUGAUCUUGGCUCAGAGCGAACGCUGGCGGCAUGCUUAACACAUGCAAGUCGCACGGAGGGUUUCGGCCUUCAGUGGCGGACGGGUGAGUAUCGCGUAGGAAUCUAUCCAUGGGUGGGGGAUAACUCUGGGAAACUGGAGCUAAUACCGCAUGACACAUGAGGGUCAAAGGCUGAGAGGCCGCCUGUGGAGGAGCCUGCGUUCGAUUAGCUUGUUGGGGGGGUAAAGGCCUACCAAGGCGAUGAUCGAUAGCUGGUCUGAGAGGAUGAUCAGCCACACUGGGACUGAGACACGGCCCAGACGCCUACGGGAGGCAGCAGGGGGGAAUAUUGGACAAUGGUCGCAAGCCUGAGCCAGCAAGGCCGCGUGUGUGAAGAAGGUCUUCGGAUUGUAAAGCACUUUCGGCGGGGACGAUGAUGACGGUACCCGCAGAAGAAGCCCCGGCUAACUUCGUGCCAGCAGCCGCAGUAACAC
This 477-nucleotide ribosomal RNA is filed under the name Acetobacter aceti. RNAcentral's name for it is "bacterial SSU rRNA". It matches the Rfam family "Bacterial small subunit ribosomal RNA", at positions 9 to 526 of the family's 1533-position model. Lineage: Bacteria; Pseudomonadati; Pseudomonadota; Alphaproteobacteria; Acetobacterales; Acetobacteraceae. The record is from RNAcentral.